RNAcentral lists this ribosomal RNA (467 nucleotides) under uncultured Desulfobulbus sp. RNAcentral describes it as "bacterial SSU rRNA". It matches the Rfam family "Bacterial small subunit ribosomal RNA", at positions 920 to 1382 of the family's 1533-position model. The record is from RNAcentral. Lineage: Bacteria; Pseudomonadati; Thermodesulfobacteriota; Desulfobulbia; Desulfobulbales; Desulfobulbaceae.
CCCGCACAGGCGGUGGAGUAUGUGGUUUAAUUCGAUGCAACGCGAAGAACCUUACCUGGUCUUGACAUCCCGGAGACCCUUAGGAAACUAGGGGUGCUUCCAUCUGGAAGAAUCUGGAGACAGGUGCUGCAUGGCUGUCGUCAGCUCGUGUCGUGAGAUGUUGGGUUAAGUCCCGCAACGAGCGCAACCCUUGCCUUUAGUUGCCAGCAGUUCGGCUGGGCACUCUAAAGGGACUGCCGGUGUUAAACCGGAGGAAGGUGGGGAUGACGUCAAGUCCUCAUGGCCUUUAUGACCAGGGCUACACACGUACUACAAUGGCCGAUACAAAGGGCAGCGACACUGCGAGGUGAAGCCAAUCCCGUAAAAUCGGUCUCAGUCCGGAUUGGAGUCUGCAACUCGACUCCAUGAAGUUGGAAUCGCUAGUAAUCGUGGAUCAGCAUGCCACGGUGAAUACGUUCCCGGGCCUU